Molecule: long non-coding RNA, 556 nt
Filed under: Malus domestica (apple)
Lineage: Eukaryota; Viridiplantae; Streptophyta; Magnoliopsida; Rosales; Rosaceae
Description: long non-coding RNA (MDOM_LNC001993)
Source: RNAcentral
GAGUGAGUAGGGAUGGGGUGGGAAGCUAACUCGAAACCCAUAGUUGUGAAGGAACUAAAGCUUGGGAUUUCAGGCCGGAGGGUUGAGAAGUAGACUUGCAACCAGAGCUGGAAGACCUAGAGUGGGCCGUUUUGAUGGGGGUCGAUUUUCCCAAAGGUUGUUUUGGUGAAACAUCAGGUAAGGUUGGCAAGGACAGCUGCACUCAGAGCCAGGAUGUGACAGCUAGGCAUGGCCUAGGCAACAGGCAUGUUUUCAGCCAAGCACUUAUUCGACUUGGCACAAAAGAAAUAUUUGUUGUACUAGUAGAAUAAAAAAGCCGCAUGUUCUCCUUUCUUGAGGUCUUCCCCUUCUGAACCGACGAAGUGGGUGAUCAAGGUGUUGUAAUUCAAAAAGUUUUUGUACAAUUUAUGCACUUCCUCUUUUGACGGCCUUUGAUCUUCUUUCAUUAGGACUUCGAUAGCACGUUCCUCAAAGACCGUAUUUAGGUCCAAGUUGAAUUUGUACCCAGCAAGAGAGGUAUCAACCGAGAGGCCGGUUAGAGAGGUGCUAAGUAUGG